AUCAAAAUUCUGUAGCCAUAUUCUUAAAAGCAAUAAAGUCCAAUAUGACUAUUCGUCGAACAAGUCCUUGACACUAUUGAUAAUUGUUCCAAUAAUUAUUCGAUCUUUUAUUCCACAACAACCCCUUCUCCGACCUCAACAAACAAAAUUUCAAGUGAACUAAUGAUGAAUAUUGGUUGGUAUUGCAGUUUUGAAAUCCAAGAACAAAGGGUUGCUAGAGAGAUCAAUUGAUCAAAUAUGUCAAUAAGACUUCUCAGGUAUGUGUGACAGCAGCUUUGGUACUAGCAAGCCCUGCAUUAGUUAUGGGCCUAGCAAUUUUAAGCCUACCCUUAAAGCCAAUAUUAAAGAAAGUUCGUAUAUGGGUGAAAUCGAGCUCAUGGUGCAUCCUAACCUCCGAUAAAAUAAGCCAGGUUCGAGACAUUGCAACAAGGGACCGAAAUCGAGUUAAAGUCCCAUUAGGACAGAACCCGAGGGCAUGGCGUCUGCCUUCGAGAAUAUCGAGGCCAUGGUCUCAGAAUCGGUCCUAGACUCGAACGACAUCGAAGAACAUUGUCAGACAAUCUAACAUAACCAACAGAAGGCUGAAAUAUCCGUGACUGGCCAAAUAUUACGGCAGGGAUCUCGGCACGUAUCGAUAAAGAACCGGCAAUCAGUUAAUCAAAAGAUUUUUUUACUUUUUAUAGAGUUGUACCUAAAAUAGGACUCCCCUACCAUAUAAAGGGGGUCUGCUAAUUUAUGAAAGACAUUGUAACACGCACUCAAAAGAAAUUAUAUUUUUUUUUUCUUCAGCUCUUGUUCUUUUUCAUCUAUAACGGUCUCAGUUAUCUCGGCUCGAGAGUGGCUAUUUCGUUAAGGCUGAAACUAUGCAACUUGUGCUGCUUGAAUUUAUUUGUCUUUGUUUAUUCAAUAGCAACUUAAUUUAUCGCUUGUAUCAAAUUAAUCCGCGUAUCCUUAAAAUCACCUACAAAUUUAAUUGUUAUCCGAUUUUGAGGGUAAAUAGUUUGGUGCCCACCGUGGGAGUGGGGGUGGGAUAGGGUAACUAAGUAAAUUUCUAGAUAAGUUGGGUUGAGAUCCCUUUAUUUUGGGGUGAACUUCAUGGGUUAUAUUUGGGCUACUUUAUGAGUCAGAAUGGGCUACAAAAAAUAAUGGGUUAACUUGGGCUCAUCCCAAAUUAACCCAUGAGCUAAAAUGUUGUAGCCCAACCUAUUAAUCUCUGGGCGGGUUUGGGAUCGAAUAGCCAGCCCUGGGAACAGGUAACCAGAGUCCACGAACAAAACCGUACUCCAAAACCUCAGAAAGAGAUUGAACGAAGCCAAAGGAAUAUGGAAAGAAAUCUUGCCCGAAGUCCUAUGGGCUUACCGUACGACCUCGAAGUCCAGUACCGGAGCCACCCCAUUCUCGUUGGUUUACGGCGCCGAAGCUCUAAUACCGGUCGAUGUCGAAGAACCGAUUCAGGUUGCGAUACACAACCGAAGAAUCAAACAACGAGACUAUGAAUACGAGCAUGGAACUGUUAGAUGAAAGGUACGAAGCCGCCCUCGUCCGGAUGGUAGCCCAAAAAAUAACGGAUCGAGAGGUAUUAAAAUCGAAGAGCCAACCUUUGACACUUCAAUGUUGGGGACUUAGUGUUGAGUAAGGUCACAUUAAACACUCGAAACCCGAAUGAAGGAAAGCUGGGACCAAACUGGAAAGGUCCGUAUCAAAUUAUCGAGAUCACCGGUAAAAGGGUCGUACAAACUCGGAGCAAUGAACAGUGAGCGACUACCGAAAAACUGAAACGUAACUCACUUGAAGAUAUAUUACUGCUAAGGUAUGACCCCAUUUACUGCUUUUAUUUAUUUACAUUUUGGACUAACACUUGCAGGUAACUGUCAAAGAACGAUAUAAUUUUUUAGGCCUGGAAGCACGCGUUGCACUCUUUUUCCCUUGAACCGGUUUUGUCCCAAAUGUAUUUUCCGGCAUGGUUUUUAACAAGGCACCAGUGGAUCGUACGAACUUAGAAUCGAAGAUCGAUUGUCAACAGUAUCCGAGGCUUCUCUAUGAUCUACCUCGAACACUGGGGGGCAUCACCCUUGAAAAAUAAUUUUGGCAAGGAAAGAAACUUUGUGCUCGAAUAGUCUAGGCUCGAUCGAUAGGAUUGACUGUAAGGGCCAAAUGGUCGAAUGAAUUGUGCCCACAUAGACCACCCAAGCCCGGACAUAAAGCUUGAACAGCACAUGUGUAACUUUGUAUGUUACGCACAAAAUUGAAAGGAAGUUUCUACCUUGCGGAUAAAUAUUUUGCCCCUUGAAAAUUUUUGUUUCAUACAUUUGAUCCCCCGAAGACAUAGAGCCCCAGGGCCACCUCACUUGGGGACUUUCGCCCAAGGCAGGUUCGGACAGCCCGGGAUAAUAAAGUCCGGGGGCACAAAGCUUAUUUGGCAGUGCCCGAAUUUUAAAGGCUACGGCCACCCCCAUUCGGGAAAGGUUAUCUCGGUUAAGUCCGGAUGACUCGGUGUAACAAGCCCACUGGGAAACACCCGAAUUAGAAAGGCUACGAUCGUAUUAAAAUGACUCAGAGACGUCCGAGACUCGUAACAAAAAACAAGGCCUUCAAAAUUUCUAAACUGGUUCAAAAGGCUACCCUCGGCAAAUUAUAAUCUAAAAUAUUCUAAGUACUUUGGGAAAAUCUUCCAGACAUACUGAGCCCCCACGAGUCUUAAACAAAAUAAUAUCGAGAGUAAGGCAUGUUCGAACCUUCAAACAAGUCCUAAUUAUUACGUACUAAGGCAUUCAAUAUCUUUGCAAUCAUAAAGAAAAAAGCAAAAGGAAACGAGCUUAAAAACUGUCGAAGGGAAACAAGACGUAUAUAUAUAUAUAUAUAUAUAUAUAUAUAUAUAUAUAUAUAUGCACGUAUGUGUGAAAAGAUCUUUACAAAGGUCAAAUGGCCUUGAUAAAAAAGUACAAAAGUACAAAAACAAAGAAAAAUAUAUAAGGCACUUAAACAACUUGGUCUCCACCGGAGCCCGCCUCGUCACCCGGACCAUCAGAGUCUUCUCCACCCCCAGAUCCAUCCGAACCCUUGGAGUCUUCUUCGUCCUCAGGAUACACCAUUUUCUUGGCCUCGGUUUUAAGCCCCUUAGCAGUUUUGACUUCGGCCGACAAAUCAAAAUCCCGAGCAUGAACUUUCUCGAGGGCCUCCCUUUGUGACUGCCACUUCACAUAUUCGACGAUAUCUUUCAGUCGGUCUUGGGCUGCCUUGGCAUCGGCCUUAUACUGGGCCACCAUCUCGUUGGCAUCAUCUUUGUUUCCUUGAACUACCGACUUGGCCUCUUUAAGCUCUUUGGCAAGGGUCUAUUGAUCGGAAAGAGCCGAGCUUAGCUGAGACUGGAGCUCCUCGAUCUUUUGGGACCGUACCUCAGCCUUCUCCCUCGUCACUCGAAGCUGGUCCUCCGCCGAGGUCAACUGCGCCCGGGCAAUCUCUUUUUCCAAGGCUAGACGGUUCAUCCUACCUCUCCACUCUUCGGCCUCGACCUUGACUGCAUCCAUCUCGGCUCGGAGUUGGUCAAUCCAAUCAAUCUUGUGUUGGACCUGCGGGUUUCGACUGUUAGUGACCAUGUCUAGCUCAUCGUCACUAACUUCAAAAAAUUUAACAUGUUCAACCAGGUCGGCGUGUUCUUUCCGAGCCACUUCCAACUCAUCUCAAAGGCUAUUAGCCUCCCCUUCACGCUGCUCGAUAAGAAGUUUGUAUGUGUCUCUCUUCUCAGUAAGCUCUCUGACUUUGGUUUGAGUUGGUUUAGCUCAUCUUGAUACCGGAGGAACGUUUCGUGGUGAAGCACCGAGGCCUACAAAUACGAAGAAAAAUUAGGAUUAUCCAUGAAUUAGUUCAAGUAUAAGAGGAGAAAUUGAAAUCAUCAAGAGUUAUCUAAAGUUACCCGGUUCAGCGUCGCUUGUGCUUCGUUGAACAAGCAGGGCAUGUCUACCUCAUUCAUUUUGGCUUGGUCUUCUUCGGUCACCAGGCACCGAAGGUAACUGGCCACCCCUACGGGGGCGAAAAGGACCCGGGUAUCCUCCGGAAUGGUGAUGAUGAUAGAUCGCUUCCGAUCAGGCUCCACACUCGGGGCAGGGAAUCGGUUGACCAAUUUCGGGCUCAAGUUAGGCCCUCCUGCCCCCAAGGUCGGACUCUUGCUCGGUACCUCUAUGUCACCUAAUCCGAUGACGUCUUCCGUAACGGUGGAAUCUACACCAUCAAAAAGCAGCGGAGGGGGUCGUCCGCUCUGUGGGCCCCCUAGUUGGGGCGCUCUUUCAUGGUUUGAGCCUCAUUGUACAUGGACUCGGUGAACGAGUGCGACUCGGUGAUGUCUAUCACACCGGGUGCCUUUUUUGGGGUACUUCCCACAUCCCGAAAAGCCUCGGCCUCGGUCCCCUCAUCGACCUCCCUGGCUUGAGGUAGAUCGUCCUCACGGAUCUCUGGUUCAGUGCCCCCCCCCCUCUUUUCGAGCUGUGACAACUCACGGGACACUAGAACAAAAGGUUCUUCUUCUUCGAAUUCGUCCCUUAGCCGAUAGACAUAAUCCGAAGGUGGUGCUCGGGCGCUGGUUUUUUCUUUUGACUUGCGCACCAGCCUUCUCCUUGUUUUCUUUUUCUUCGAGCACGGGGAACUCGGAGCCCUUUUUCUUUUCUUUUCUUCGGCAUGUCUCGGAGCAGGGAACUCGGUAGGUAAGUCCUCGCCAUAGGCUGGAGGCCUCAUCUCGAUAUCCUUAGAUAAACCUACAAAAAAGAAGUAAAGGGAGUAAGGCUUAAUGUAAAAAGAGGGGUUUUAAUACUACCUACUCGGGAAAAGAGUCUUACCGUGGGAACGGGACUCCCAAAGGCCCUUCGAGAGAUUGCGCCACAAGCGCUCAGAAUAGGGCAUCUGUGAUACGAUACCCUCGACCCAUUCCUUGAGUUGAGGGACAGCGUUUGGGACUAGAGCAAUAGUUGCACCACCACAAAGUACCGAUAAGAAAAAGAGAAGUAAGUAUAAAAUCGACAAUCGAAAGUAAAUCAUACUUAUGUGAGGUGUUCCACUUCUCGGGAAACGGCAUACACUCAUCUGAGAUUAAGUCUGAAGUCCUCACUAGGACAAAACGGCCUUGCCAACCCCGAUCCCGAUCCUCAUCAAUAAUUGAGAACAUGGCUUUACUGACCCGACGCAUGAGCUUUAUCAGCCCCUCCUCCCCCCGAAAGAUUUGGGGACUGUAUAAGUGAAGAAGAUGGUCGAUGGUGAAUGAACACCCAUCGAUUUUGGUUCACAAAGAAUCGAAGGAGGAUCAUAAUCCUCCACGGUGAAGAAUGGAUCUGACCGAGGCAUACCUCGUAUCUCUUACAGAAAUUUAUGAUGAUAGGGUCUGCUGGGUCUAGUGUAAAGUGAUAUGUGUAAACACUUAAAUAUCCCUCGACAUUGGUGGUAAUGGCCUCAUCGGGGUCGGGGACCACUAUGUCCUUAUAGACCCAGUUGCAGUCUUUUCGGACCGUGAGGAGGAUCUCUUCGGUGAUCGAGCAGAUAUAUCUCGAGACCUCCUCACACCGGCCUUGCACGGAGGAAGGAUUUUUGACUUGAAAUCGACAUUGACCGAGCAUUGCCCAGUACUGGUUCAUCAAUGACAGCGCGCGAAAUAGUCACUUCGGCCUCAGUAGCCGGUUGCGAAGUUGAAGGAGUUUCUUUCUGAGGAAUGGUCUUGGAAAUCUUUGCCAUUUCUGUAAAAAAUGGAGGAAAUUCCAAGAAAGGUGGAGAAAGAAAGGAAUAUUGAAGGAUUAGACUUGUUGUCUUGAGAUGAAGAUGGGUAAAAAUUCUUGCAAAGGGACUCGAAAUCUUAAAAGUACAAGGGUAGAAUGUUUGGAUAUAAAGUUAAAAUGAACAAAGGAGGGGAUAUUUAUAGUAGUUCAACGGCAUUUUGCAUCCAAGGACGGCCGACCGGCGGCUGACAUGCAUUUAAUGCCAUUAUGACUUUACUGACGAGACGUUUCAAUUAUUUUGUCGUUUCUGUCACGGUGUAUCGAAGUAAGAAUCAGAAGCUCAUGUCGUUUCUCGUCGUUUACUAUCUGAAAAAUGAGGGGACUAUCUAUAUAAGGGUAAAAUCGAGCUCAUGGUGCAUCCUAGCCUCCAACAAAAUAAGCAAGGUUCGAGACAUGACAACAAGGGACCGAAAUCGAGCUAAAGUCCCAUCGGGCCAGAACCCAGGGGCAUGACGUCUGCCUUCGAGAAUAUAGAGGCCAUGGUCCCGGAAUCAGUCCUAACCUCAAACGACAUCGAAGAAUAUUGUCAGACAAUCCAGCAUAGCCAACAGAAGGCCGAAAUAUUCGUGACUGGUCGAAUAUUACGGCGGGGAUCUCGACAUGUAUCGAUAAGGAACCGGCAUUCAGUUAAUCAGAAGAUGUUUUACCUUUUAUAGAGUUGUACCUAAAAUAGGACUCCCCUACCAUAUAAAAUGGGUCUGAUAAUUCAUGAAAGACAUUGUAACA
This 6482-nucleotide long non-coding RNA is filed under the name Nicotiana tabacum (common tobacco). Its description in RNAcentral is "long non-coding RNA (NTAB_LNC009365)". Lineage: Eukaryota; Viridiplantae; Streptophyta; Magnoliopsida; Solanales; Solanaceae. The record is from RNAcentral.